RNAcentral lists this ribosomal RNA (443 nucleotides) under uncultured bacterium. Its description in RNAcentral is "partial 16S ribosomal RNA". It matches the Rfam family "Bacterial small subunit ribosomal RNA", at positions 338 to 795 of the family's 1533-position model. The record is from RNAcentral.
CCUACGGGAGGCAGCAGUGGGGAAUAUUGGGCAAUGGGCGCAAGCCUGACCCAGCAACGCCGCGUGAAGGAAGAAGGCUUUCGGGUUGUAAACUUCUUUUCUGAGGGACGAAGAAAGUGACGGUACCUCCGGAAUAAGCCACGGCUAACUACGUGCCAGCAGCCGCGGUAAUACGUAGGUGGCAAGCGUUAUCCGGAUUUAUUGGGGGUAAAGGGGGUGUAGGCGGGAAAGCAAGUCAGAUGUGAAAACUCAGGGCUCAACCCUGAUCCGGCAUUUGAAACUGUUUUUCUUGAGUGCUGGAGAGGCAAGCGGAAGUCCGUGUGUAGCGGUGAAAUGCGUAGAUAUACGGAGGAACACCAGUGGCGAAGGCGGAUUGCUGGACAGUAACGGACGCUGAGGCGCGAAAGCGUGGGGAGCAAACAGGAUUAGAGACCCGUGUAGUC